Molecule: ribosomal RNA, 466 nt
Filed under: uncultured bacterium
Lineage: Bacteria
Description: partial 16S ribosomal RNA
Rfam family: Bacterial small subunit ribosomal RNA
Source: RNAcentral
GAUGAACGCUGGCGGCGUGCUUAACACAUGCAAGUCGAACGAUGAAGCCCAGCUUGCUGGGUGGAUUAGUGGCGAACGGGUGAGUAACACGUGAGUAACCUGCCCUUAACUCUGGGAUAAGCCUGGGAAACGGGGUCUAAUACCGGAUAGGAGCGUCCACCGCAUGGUGGGUGUUGGAAAGAUUUAUCGGUUUUGGAUGGACUCGCGGCCUAUCAGCUUGUUGGUGAGGUAAUGGCUCACCAAGGCGACGACGGGUAGCCGGCCUGAGAGGGUGACCGGCCACACUGGGACUGAGACACGGCCCAGACUCCUACGGGAGGCAGCAGUGGGGAAUAUUGCACAAUGGGCGCAAGCCUGAUGCAGCGACGCCGCGUGAGGGAUGACGGCCUUCGGGUUGUAAACCUCUUUCAGUAGGGAAGAAGCGAAAGUGACGGUACCUGCAGAAGAAGCACCGGCUAACUACGUG